CAGAGUUUGGAAACUGGCUCAGGAUGAACGCUGGCGGCGUGCCUAACACAUGCAAGUCGAGCGAUCUCUUCGGAGAGAGCGGCGGACGGGUGAGUAACGCGUGGGUAACCUGCCCUGUACACACGGAUAACAUACCGAAAGGUAUACUAAUACGGGAUAACAUAUGAAAGUCGCAUGGCUUUUGUAUCAAAGCUCCGGCGGUACAGGAUGGACCCGCGUCUGAUUAGCUAGUUGGUAAGGUAAUGGCUUACCAAGGCAACGAUCAGUAGCCGACCUGAGAGGGUGAUCGGCCACACUGGAACUGAGACACGGUCCAGACUCCUACGGGAGGCAGCAGUGGGGAAUAUUGCACAAUGGGCGAAAGCCUGAUGCAGCAACGCCGCGUGAGCGAUGAAGGCCUUCGGGUCGUAAAGCUCUGUCCUCAAGGAAGAUAAUGACGGUACUUGAGGAGGAAGCCCCGGCUAACUACGUGCCAGCAGCCGCGGUAAUACGUAGGGGGCUAGCGUUAUCCGGAAUUACUGGGCGUAAAGGGUGCGUAGGUGGUUUUUUAAGUCAGAAGUGAAAGGCUACGGCUCAACCGUAGUAAGCUUUUGAAACUAGAGAACUUGAGUGCAGGAGAGGAGAGUAGAAUUCCUAGUGUAGCGGUGAAAUGCGUAGAUAUUAGGAGGAAUACCAGUAGCGAAGGCGGCUCUCUGGACUGUAACUGACACUGAGGCACGAAAGCGUGGGGAGCAAACAGGAUUAGAUACCCUGGUAGUCCACGCCGUAAACGAUGAGUACUAGGUGUCGGGGGUUACCCCCCUCGGUGCCGCAGCUAACGCAUUAAGACUCCGCCGGAAAGC
This 842-nucleotide ribosomal RNA is filed under the name Clostridium sp. RNAcentral describes it as "bacterial SSU rRNA". It matches the Rfam family "Bacterial small subunit ribosomal RNA", at positions 9 to 873 of the family's 1533-position model. Lineage: Bacteria; Bacillati; Bacillota; Clostridia; Eubacteriales; Clostridiaceae. The record is from RNAcentral.